AUCGUGAUGUCAUCAUGGCGUCAUCGUGGCGUUGUCAUGGAUGAUGGCGGUGUCAUCGAGGCGUCAUCGCGGCGCUGUUGUGAAGUUAUCGUGGCGUCAUCGGCGUCGUUGGGGCAUGUCGCGAUGUCAUCAUGACGCUAUUUUGGCAUAUUUGACAUCGUGAUGUCAUCAUGGUGUUGUCAUGGUGUUGUCAUGGAUGAUGGCGGCGUCUUCGCGGUGUCAUCGCGGCGCUGUUGUGAAGUUAUCGUGACGUCAUCAUGGAUGAUUUAUGAUGUCAUCGGGGCGUUGUCGCGAUAUCAUCAUGACACCAUUGCGGCGUUAUCGCGACACCGUUGUGGCGCCAUCAUGAUGUCAUCAUGUUGUCAUCGUGGCGUUGUCAUGGAUGAUGGCGGCGUCUUCGGGGCAUCAUCGCGAUGUCAUCAUGACACCAUCGCGGCGUUAUCGCGACACCGUUGUGGCGCCAUCGUGAUGUCAUCAUGGUGUCACCAUGGAUGAUGGUGACGUCAUCGCCGUGUCAUUGCGAUGCCAUCACGACACCAUCGUGACGUUAUCGUGACGUCAUCGCAGUGUCAUCGCGACACGAUCAUGGCGUCACUGGGACACCGUCACGGUGCCACCGUGGCAUCAUCAUGGCUGAUCGCGACGUCACCGCGG
This 654-nucleotide long non-coding RNA is filed under the name Anas platyrhynchos platyrhynchos (common mallard). Its description in RNAcentral is "lncRNA (ENSAPLG00000029847.1)". Lineage: Eukaryota; Metazoa; Chordata; Aves; Anseriformes; Anatidae. The record is from RNAcentral.